This 468-nucleotide ribosomal RNA is filed under the name uncultured bacterium. RNAcentral describes it as "partial 16S ribosomal RNA". It matches the Rfam family "Bacterial small subunit ribosomal RNA", at positions 28 to 507 of the family's 1533-position model. The record is from RNAcentral.
GACGAACGCUGGCGGCGUGCUUAACACAUGCAAGUCGAACGGUGAAGCUCCAGCUUGCUGGAGUGGAUCAGUGGCGAACGGGUGAGUAAUACGUGAGCAACCUGCCCCUGACUCUGGAAUAAGCGCUGGAAACGGCGUCUAAUACUGGAUACGAGAAGGGUCCGCAUGGGCACUUUCUGGAAAGUUUUUCGGUUGGGGAUGGGCUCGCGGCCUAUCAGCUUGUUGGUGAGGUAAUGGCUCACCAAGGCGACGACGGGUAGCCGGCCUGAGAGGGCGACCGGCCACACUGGGACUGAGACACGGCCCAGACUCCUACGGGAGGCAGCAGUGGGGAAUAUUGCACAAUGGGCGAAAGCCUGAUGCAGCGACGCCGCGUGAGGGAUGACGGCCUUCGGGUUGUAAACCUCUUUCAGCAGGGAAGAAGCGAAAGUGACGGUACCUGCAGAAGAAGCACCGGCUAACUACGUG